Molecule: ribosomal RNA, 941 nt
Filed under: Serratia marcescens
Lineage: Bacteria; Pseudomonadati; Pseudomonadota; Gammaproteobacteria; Enterobacterales; Yersiniaceae
Also listed under: 6 other names
Description: bacterial LSU rRNA
Rfam family: Bacterial large subunit ribosomal RNA
Source: RNAcentral
AACCGGCGAUACCCGAAUGGGGAAACCCAGUGUGUUUCGACACACUAUCAUGUCAUGAAUACAUAGUGGCAUGAGGCGAACCGGGGGAACUGAAACAUCUAAGUACCCCGAGGAAAAGAAAUCAACCGAGAUUCCCCCAGUAGCGGCGAGCGAACGGGGAGGAGCCCAGAACCUGAAUCGGCUUGUGUGUUAGUGGAAGCGUCUGGAAAGUCGCGCAGCAAAGGGUGAUAGCCCCGUACACUAAAAUGCACAGGUCGUGAGUUCGAUGAGUAGGGCGGGACACGUGACAUCCUGUCUGAAUAUGGGGGGACCAUCCUCCAAGGCUAAAUACUCCUGACUGACCGAUAGUGAACCAGUACCGUGAGGGAAAGGCGAAAAGAACCCCGGCGAGGGGAGUGAAAUAGAACCUGAAACCGUGUACGUACAAGCAGUGGGAGCACCUUCGUGGUGUGACUGCGUACCUUUUGUAUAAUGGGUCAGCGACUUAUAUUUUGUAGCAAGGUUAACCGUAUAGGGGAGCCGUAGGGAAACCGAGUCUUAACUGGGCGAAUAGUUGCAAGGUAUAGACCCGAAACCCGGUGAUCUAGCCAUGGGCAGGUUGAAGGUUGGGUAACACUAACUGGAGGACCGAACCGACUAAUGUUGAAAAAUUAGCGGAUGACUUGUGGCUGGGGGUGAAAGGCCAAUCAAACCGGGAGAUAGCUGGUUCUCCCCGAAAGCUAUUUAGGUAGCGCCUCGUGAACUCAUCUUCGGGGGUAGAGCACUGUUUCGGCUAGGGGGCCAUCCCGGCUUACCAAACCGAUGCAAACUCCGAAUACCGAAGAAUGUUAUCACGGGAGACACACGGCGGGUGCUAACGUCCGUCGUGAAGAGGGAAACAACCCAGACCGCCAGCUAAGGUCCCAAAGUCAUGGUUAAGUGGGAAACGAUGUGGGAAGGCA